Molecule: ribosomal RNA, 496 nt
Filed under: uncultured bacterium
Lineage: Bacteria
Description: partial 16S ribosomal RNA
Rfam family: Bacterial small subunit ribosomal RNA
Source: RNAcentral
GAUGAACGCUGGCGGCGUGCCUAAUACAUGCAAGUCGAGCGAACAGACGAGGAGCUUGCUCCUCUGACGUUAGCGGCGGACGGGUGAGUAACACGUGGAUAACCUACCUAUAAGACUGGGAUAACUUCGGGAAACCGGAGCUAAUACCGGAUAAUAUAUUGAACCGCAUGGUUCAAUAGUGAAAGACGGUUUUGCUGUCACUUAUAGAUGGAUCCGCGCCGCAUUAGCUAGUUGGUAAGGUAACGGCUUACCAAGGCAACGAUGCGUAGCCGACCUGAGAGGGUGACCGGCCACACUGGAACUGAGAACGGGCCCAGACUCUUACGGGAGGCAGCAGUAGGGAAUCUUCCGAAAUGGGCGAAAGCCUGACGGAGCAACGCCGCGUGAGUGAUGAAGGUCUUCGGAUCGUAAAACUCUGUUAUUAGGGAAGAAAAAAUGUGUAAGUAACUAUGCACGUUUUGACGGUACCGAAUAAGAAAGCCACGCCUAACUACGU